UAAUUUUUAUUUUUUUAACGCACAAACAUGUGAAAAGUGUUUGGAAGCUCCAUAAAAUACUUGUCUAGGAGCGUGGCAUCAUGCAGGUCCGUGAGUUCUUCCAGUAUCCCACUUAUUGGCAUUCAGAAAAUGUCUGGGAAAUGCAGAGGUCAUGACCAUUACCAGGCACAGAGACACAUCUGAGAUGUGGCUUUUCAUUUAUUGCCCUCCAACAUCCAGACAGUGUUGCCUCCCUUCUAUAAUGCUACAAUUGUAUGGAGAUCCAGGUACCAAAGAGCAGGUGUAGUUGUCAGUGGUUAGAAAACAGACAUAGGCUUGGAGAGGAAUUUUCUAGAGGCAGCUGUCAGGUGAGAAGAGUUGGCAUCCUUCUUCAUAACAAAGAGCAUUGGGAGGUGGAGGGUCUGAUAAACUCUCAACACAAGUCUGUGUCAAUGGUGUUAUGGAAGUCUCAGGCUCAGAAAUCAAGCACACCCAUUGAAUAAGAACUUGGAUCCUAAGUGCUAUGUAACAUUAUGAAGACGCUCUCCUCAUGCAGAGGCACAAUUUCUCCACUCAAUGAUGAAAGCAUCCUGCUAAGAAUUGGAUGUGGCAUUGUUCCCAAGAACACUCACCAAUUCAAUUCUUCUGUGCUAAUUCCCAUCUCAGAGUCUGCUUCCAAGGGACUCAACUUGCAACAAUGGCAGGGGUGGUCUAAGAAAACAGAUGUUCAUAUGGGAUUUUGAAGCUGCCACCCACCAGCCAGCCAGCAGUGAGGACCCUGAUCUUCAGAAGAAGGAGGGCAGUUGCCACAUAAUGGAAGAGAAGAAUGUGAUCCACUAGGUUGCCUCUUGACUUUCCCUUGCUCAUCCUGAUGAUAAAAAGAUAAAUACAACAGUCAUGCUUAAGAAGGGUAUGGAGAUCAGGAACUCAGAGGUCUCAGGAAUAAGGAUCCAAGUCAUGCCAACAGGUAAACCAUCUACUCAACAAAGAUGGUGGCUGAGAAUGAGACAAUCUAGAAUGGGUAGUACAUGAUGAGUAUCUACUCAUCAAGCAGUUGUGGCCCCAACAGCUUGGGCUCCAACUACUUACAGCCAGGGCUGUAACUUAUCCUACUAGCCUUCUUAUCCAUUUUCCCCAGGAAAAGAGGUCCAACACAAUUUUGGAGGAACUCUUCCCAGAAUUUACAUGGAGAAGUGGAUUUGGGCAGUGCAAAUGGCAGACCAUAGUGGAAGCUGUGAUGUGCCACUCUGGCCCCUUUAAGACUGAAGGACUUAUUUCUCCAGCUAUUGAGGGCACUAUUGGCUACAGGUCUCAGUAAUUACCCUAGGUUGGAGAGUUCUGCCUUCCACAAACUCAUGCCUCCUCCCUAGGGCAACCCAGAUCCAAUAACUGGUCAGUGUGUAAUAUUAAGACCCAGACUCCUCAACUUAUCUCAGGACAACAUUAAAGGGCGUCACAGCUUCCGGGUCCCCAAAGGGUUGGCCUGGUCUUUGUUGAAACUACGUCACAGCCCAAUUUCUUCCUCUGUCCCAUACUGACUGCUUCUUUCUCUUCCUUUCCACAAUGGUGAUCCCAAGAGUGCUCCCUACAAAACUUCCCUCACGCUAGUCUCCAUCCCAGAAUCUGUUUCCUAGGAAACCCAUCCUUCAACAAGAAUAUUAUAGAAACACCUGAUGAAAUUUGAAUAUAGACUCUUGAUUAGAUAAUGGGAUUGUAUCAGUGUUAAAUUUCCUGAUUUUUGACCAUAUACAGUGUUUUGGUUUUUUUCAAAGAUUUAAAAAAUUUUUUUUUCCUUUUUCUCCCAAAGCCCCCCGGUACAUAGUUGUGUAUUUUCUAGUUGUGGGUCCUUCUAGUUGUGGUACGUGGGACACUGCCCCAGCACAGCCCGAUGAGCAGUGCCAUGUCUGCACCCAGGACUCGAACCAGCAAAACACUGGGCUGCCUAAGCAGAGCACGGGAGCUCAACCACUCAGCCACAGGGCUGGCCUCCCAUAUGCAGUGUUUAUAUAAGAGAAUGUCUUUGUUCUUAGGAAACACACACUGGCGUAUACAGGGAUAAAGGCACACAAUAUCUACAACUUAAUCUCAACUGAUUUAGAAAAAAUUGUACAUGGAGAGGUGGAGGAUCAGAGAGAGAAAGAAGAAACUAGGGCAAAAUGUAAACAAUUAGUGAAUCUGGGUAAAAGGUAUAGGGAAGGCAUUUCUACACUUCUUUCAUCUUUUCUAUGUCUGAAUCUAUAUCAAAAUAAAAAGUUACCAAAACAAAGUGACCAGACUUCAUCUCAUUCCCAGAAAUUCUGAUUCACUUGGCUACUAUUAUAUUCCCAAUGCUCAGCCCUAGUCUAU
Molecule: long non-coding RNA, 2325 nt
Filed under: Equus caballus (horse)
Lineage: Eukaryota; Metazoa; Chordata; Mammalia; Perissodactyla; Equidae
Description: lncRNA (ENSECAG00000057903.1)
Source: RNAcentral